CGGACAGUGUCUGGUGGGUAGUUUGACUGGGGCGGUCUCCUCCUAAAGAGUAACGGAGGAGCACGAAGGUUGGCUAAUCCUGGUCGGACAUCAGGAGGUUAGUGCAAUGGCAUAAGCCAGCUUGACUGCGAGCGUGACGGCGCGAGCAGGUGCGAAAGCAGGUCAUAGUGAUCCGGUGGUUCUGAAUGGAAGGGCCAUCGCUCAACGGAUAAAAGGUACUCCGGGGAUAACAGGCUGAUACCGCCCAAGAGUUCAUAUCGACGGCGGUGUUUGGCACCUCGAUGUCGGCUCAUCACAUCCUGGGGCUGAAGUAGGUCCCAAGGGUAUGGCUGUUCGCCAUUUAAAGUGGUACGCGAGCUGGGUUUAGAACGUCGUGAGACAGUUCGGUCCCUAUCUGCCGUGGGCGCUGGAGAACUGAGGGGGGCUGCUCCUAGUACGAGAGGACCGGAGUGGACGCAUCACUGGUGUUCGGGUUGUCAUGCCAAUGGCACUGCCCGGUAGCUAAAUGCGGAAGAGAUAAGUGCUGAAAGCAUCUAAGCACGAAACUUGCCCCGAGAUGAGUUCUCCCUGAGACUUAG
This 578-nucleotide ribosomal RNA is filed under the name Salmonella enterica. RNAcentral's name for it is "partial 23S ribosomal RNA". It matches the Rfam family "Bacterial large subunit ribosomal RNA", at positions 2248 to 2824 of the family's 2925-position model. RNAcentral also lists the same sequence under 1 other name. Lineage: Bacteria; Pseudomonadati; Pseudomonadota; Gammaproteobacteria; Enterobacterales; Enterobacteriaceae. The record is from RNAcentral.